AUGUACAACUCCUAUAGCCUGGACUUCGAUUACACGAAUACAAUGAUGAGCUUUGAGGUGCUUGGCUACAUGCUUGAGUGGACCAAGAAGGCACUACUCGUGAUGGACCCAUGCGAGACAUCCAAAGACAAAGAUGACAUGAAGCUCAAGCAUGAAGACAACGCAAACAUCAUCCUGGAGGGACUCUAUCGCUGCAUCCAUGCAAACAUAUCAGGGUGCCAGGACAACCACCUACAUGUGGGAAAUUACAUCAGGGAGUUCACAAAUCUGUACAUCUACAAUCCUCUCACACCGGAACACGCAGUGGUCCUGAUGCUCUCAUUUGUAAGAACUUCUAUGAAGUGCACUAGUGAUGCUAAUAGAGUGUUGCAGAUUUCAGAACUGCCUCCACUACUUUCUUCGGUUGAUUGCUUAUGA
RNAcentral lists this ribosomal RNA (417 nucleotides) under Triticum aestivum (bread wheat). Its description in RNAcentral is "partial small subunit ribosomal RNA". The record is from RNAcentral. Lineage: Eukaryota; Viridiplantae; Streptophyta; Magnoliopsida; Poales; Poaceae.